RNAcentral lists this transfer RNA (90 nucleotides) under Alphaproteobacteria bacterium. RNAcentral's name for it is "tRNA-Ser". It matches the Rfam family "tRNA". From Rfam's summary of the family: Transfer RNA (tRNA) molecules are approximately 80 nucleotides in length. The record is from RNAcentral. Lineage: Bacteria; Pseudomonadati; Pseudomonadota; Alphaproteobacteria.
GGUGAGGUGGCCGAGUGGCUUAAGGCGCACGCUUGGAAAGCGUGUUAGGGCUUACCCCCUACGCGGGUUCGAAUCCCGCCCUCACCGCCA